This 253-nucleotide ribosomal RNA is filed under the name uncultured bacterium. RNAcentral describes it as "partial 16S ribosomal RNA". It matches the Rfam family "Bacterial small subunit ribosomal RNA", at positions 524 to 776 of the family's 1533-position model. The record is from RNAcentral.
UACGGGGGGGGCAAGCGUUGUUCGGAAUUACUGGGCGUAAAGGGCUCGUAGGCGGCCAACUAAGUCAGACGUGAAAUCCCUCGGCUUAACCGGGGAACUGCGUCUGAUACUGGAUGGCUUGAGUUUGGGAGAGGGAUGCGGAAUUCCAGGUGUAGCGGUGAAAUGCGUAGAUAUCUGGAGGAACACCGGUGGCGAAGGCGGCAUCCUGGACCAAUACUGACGCUGAUACGCGAAAGCGUGGGGAGCAAACAGG